Long non-coding RNA from Sebastes umbrosus (honeycomb rockfish), 525 nucleotides. RefSeq lists it as uncharacterized. The transcript has 4 exons. NCBI's taxonomy places the organism in Eukaryota, Metazoa, Chordata, Actinopteri, Perciformes, Sebastidae. The record is from RefSeq and is a predicted model, not a curated record.
UUCUAUUCUCAUUAUUAAUGAAAACUCAAUAUUUUCUAAUUAUUUUUCACUGUGAAUGAGACUCCCAGUCAGUAUUAUUCUCUGUUUCUGGUUCUGCAGAGCCUGGCCUGUAAACUAGUUAACAUUUUCCGUGGCAUUCCUAAAGGUCACAGUAAACUCGCAACAACAUGUUUUCAGUGGAAAUAUGGAAAAGGAUUAAGGAAAGGUCACAUUCAGCAACACCUCUGAUUAACUUUUCUGAUUAGCAUGUUAAAACUUUUUUUUUUUUUUUUUUAAUGUAUCACAUUGAACUGAACAAGUUAAGAUGUGUGCUGGACAAGUUCUUCCAGACUGAGCUGAUGCAGAUGGUCAUUUGUGCCAGCUGCCAUCUUUGAGAGCCUGCUGUCAACCACUCGCAAAAUCCGAUCAAACAGUCAAACUAGGCAGCGCUGAUCAAAUAUGAAUCAAUAUUCUGUUACUGUAAUGCCUAUUUCUCGCCUAUAAUGUGUGCAGAAAUAUAUUUUAAUGUAUUGUUUAGCUGUAAAA